RNAcentral lists this ribosomal RNA (239 nucleotides) under uncultured Rhodocyclales bacterium. RNAcentral describes it as "partial 16S ribosomal RNA". It matches the Rfam family "Bacterial small subunit ribosomal RNA", at positions 96 to 334 of the family's 1533-position model. The record is from RNAcentral. Lineage: Bacteria; Pseudomonadati; Pseudomonadota; Betaproteobacteria; Rhodocyclales.
UGGCGAACGGGUGAGUAAUACAUCGGAACGUGUCGAAAAGAGGGGGAUAACCACCCGAAAGGGUGGCUAAUACCGCAUAAAUUCUGAGGAAGAAAGCUGGGGACCUAGGAAUAGGCCUAGCGCUUUUUGAGCGGCCGAUGUCGGAUUAGCUAGUUGGUGAGGUAAAGGCUCACCAAGGCGAAGAUCUGUAGCGGGUCUGAGAGGAUGAUCCGCCACACUGGGACUGAGACACGGCCCAG